AUUAAAAUGGCAGAAAGUGCGUUAAGGUUAAGUCUUAAUAAUGGAAUUUCAAUUUCUUUUAAUA
Molecule: transfer RNA, 64 nt
Filed under: Pleuropoma jana
Lineage: Eukaryota; Metazoa; Mollusca; Gastropoda; Cycloneritida; Helicinidae
Description: tRNA-Leu
Source: RNAcentral